UCCCUGGUGGCUCAGAUGGUAAAGCGUCUGCCUGCAAUGUAGGAGACCCGGGUUCAAUUCCUGGGUUGGAAA
Molecule: transfer RNA, 72 nt
Filed under: Ovis aries (sheep)
Lineage: Eukaryota; Metazoa; Chordata; Mammalia; Artiodactyla; Bovidae
Rfam family: tRNA
About the family: Transfer RNA (tRNA) molecules are approximately 80 nucleotides in length. Their secondary structure includes four short double-helical elements and three loops (D, anti-codon, and T loops).
Source: Rfam by way of RNAcentral